RNAcentral lists this unclassified non-coding RNA (202 nucleotides) under Hevea brasiliensis (rubber tree). The record is from RNAcentral. Lineage: Eukaryota; Viridiplantae; Streptophyta; Magnoliopsida; Malpighiales; Euphorbiaceae.
GGGGUGCAGGAUCUGAACACUAUGAAAGUAUCCACAUUAGCAUGACGAAGAAGAUUUGUGUUGGUAAAGAUUGCUAGAUAGAACACAAACGCAGCAGGUAAAAACUUCUUAGCAGUUGCAUAUGUAAAGGGGUCAUGAUGCAAAAACCCAAGUUUCCCCAAAACCCAAACUCCUACAGCAGAAGUUAGAUACUGCAGAGCCG